Molecule: ribosomal RNA, 497 nt
Filed under: uncultured bacterium
Lineage: Bacteria
Description: partial 16S ribosomal RNA
Rfam family: Bacterial small subunit ribosomal RNA
Source: RNAcentral
GAUGGACGCUGGCGGCGUGCCUAAUACAUGCAAGUCGAGCGAACGGACGAGAAGCUUGCUUCUCUGAUGUUAGCGGCGGACGGGUGAGUAACACGUGGAUAACCUACCUAUAAGACUGGGAUAACUUCGGGAAACCGGAGCUAAUACCGGAUGAUAUUUUGAACCGCAUGGUUCAAAAGUGAAAGACGGUCUUGCUGUCACUUAUAGAUGGAUCCGCGCUGCAUUAGCUAGUUGGUAAGGUAACGGCUUACCAAGGCAACGAUGCAUAGCCGACCUGAGAGGGUGAUCGGCCACACUGGAACUGAGACACGGUCCAGACUCCUACGGGAGGCAGCAGUAGGGAAUCUUCCGCAAUGGGCGAAAGCCUGACGGAGCAACGCCGCGUGAGCGAUGAAGGUCUUCGGAUCGUAAAACUCUGUUAUUAGGGAAGAACAUAUGUGUAAGUAACUGUGCACAUCUUGACGGUACCUAAUCAGAAAGCCACGGCUAACUACGUG